Molecule: ribosomal RNA, 465 nt
Filed under: uncultured bacterium
Lineage: Bacteria
Description: partial 16S ribosomal RNA
Rfam family: Bacterial small subunit ribosomal RNA
Source: RNAcentral
CCUACGGGAGGCUGCAGUAGGGAAUCUUCCACAAUGGGCGAAAGCCUGAUGGAGCAACGCCGCGUGGGUGAAGAAGGUCUUCGGAUCGUAAAACCCUGUUGUUAGAGAAGAAAGUGCGUGAGAGUAACUGUUAACGUUUCGACGUCAUCUAACCAGAAAGCCACGGCAAACUACGUGCCAGCAGCCUCGGUAGUACGUAGGUGCCAAGCGUUAUCGGGAUUUGUUGGGCGUAAAGGGCACGCAGGCGGUCUUUUAAGUCAGAUGUGAAAGCCUAUGGCUGAACCAGAGUAGUGCAUUGGAAACUGUGAGACUUGAGUGCAGAAGAGGAGAGUGGAACUCCAGGUGUAGCGGUGAAAUGCGUAGAUAUAUGGAGGAACACCAGUGGCGAAAGCGGCUCACUGGGCUGUAACUGACGCUGAGGUUCGAAAGCGUGGGUAGCAAACAGGAUUAGAUACCCCAGUAGUC